UCACAGCUUACGCUGGCAGUUUCAGUAGAGUUCUCAGCAUUAUCUGUUAGCAACUACUAAUAGGGGUUGCGCUCGUUAUGGGACUUAACCCGACACCUCACGGCACGAGCUGACGACAGCCAUGCAGCACCUAGACAAAUGUUCUUGCGAAAAGUCUCCUUUCGGAAACGGUCAUCUGUCUUUCAAGCCCAGGUAAGGUUCCUCGCGUACCAUCGAAUUAAACCACAUGCUCCUCCGCUUGUGCGGGCCCCCGUCAAUUCCUUUGAGUUUCAACCUUGCGGUCGUACUUCCCAGGUGGAUCACUUAAUGCUUUCGCUUAGUCGCUGACUGUGUAUCGCCAACAACGAGUGAUCAUCGUUUACGGUGCGGACUAC
RNAcentral lists this unclassified non-coding RNA (374 nucleotides) under uncultured Sphingobacteriales bacterium. Its description in RNAcentral is "contains 16S-23S intergenic spacer region". Lineage: Bacteria; Pseudomonadati; Bacteroidota; Sphingobacteriia; Sphingobacteriales. The record is from RNAcentral.